GAUGAACGCUGGCGGCGUGCCUAGUACAUGCAAGUCGAGCGAACAGACGAGGAGCUUGCUCCUCUGACGUUAGCGGCGGACGGGUGAGUAACACGUGGAUAACCUACCUAUAAGACUGGGAUAACUUCGGGAAACCGGAGCUAAUACCGGAUAAUAUAUUGAACCGCAUGGUUCAAUAGUGAAAGACGGUUUUGCUGUCACUUAUAGAUGGAUCCGCGCCGCAUUAGCUAGUUGGUAAGGUAACGGCUUACCAAGGCAACGAUGCGUAGCCGACCUGAGAGGGUGAUCGGCCACACUGGAACUGAGACACGGUCCAGACUCCUACGGGAGGCAGCAGUAGGGAAUCUUCCGCAAUGGGCGAAAGCUUGACGGAGCAACGCCGCGUGAGUGAUGAAGGUCUUCGGAUCGUAAAACUCUGUUAUUAGGGAAGAACAAAUGUGUAAGUAACUAUGCACGUCUUGGCGGUACCUAAUCAGAAAGCCACGGCUAACUACGUG
Molecule: ribosomal RNA, 497 nt
Filed under: uncultured bacterium
Lineage: Bacteria
Description: partial 16S ribosomal RNA
Rfam family: Bacterial small subunit ribosomal RNA
Source: RNAcentral